GGAGACUCGGCGUUUUGCUCUGGAGUGAGUUUGAUGGUAUGUGUUUAUUUCCAUCUGACUCACAGGGUCUCUUUUCCAAAACAUGGAGGGGCCAGCACACUUGGAGGAAGUGGCAUUUGUGAUCUACAUCCCUGCCUCGGAGCCUGUGUUGUGAAAGCUGAGUAAGCCAGAUCAAAGUCUCCCCGCCUGGCUGGCCAUCCAGUCCUGGGGGGGACUUCUUACUUCAACUACAGAUCAUUGAUCAAAGUUAUCUAUCCGCCACCUGUCCCUAUGUCAGCCGGGGUCCGAGGGCUUUGACUGCAUGGCUUAAGCAUCCAACGGGAAGGGGAAACCCCUUAUUUUCUCCUUCACCAGAGACUCUCAUGGCAGGUGGCUGGCUUCCCCAGGUUCUCUCGAUUCCCAUCCAGAACCCGAGUUUCUGUUUUGUUUGACGACAGUGACCUAAUUUCUUUUCGACUCAAUGUGCAGACACACCUUAUGACUGUCUGUUCUAAGAAUUGUAAGCCUUUCAAAGUUCGGAGUCACAGGGGCCCGGGAAGGGACAUCCCCUCUGACCUUUCCAUCUUACAAAUGGGAAGACAGAGGUGCAGACUUGAGUCCCUGGCUAUCGUGAGGAUGGUCAGAAAGGCAUGGCAGCAGCUCAGGGUUCGUGAGGCAGUGCUCACUCUUCUGCAUCAGAUUGCGUCUGCAGGCUUCUUAAAACUCUGUUCUUCCUCCCCUUCUCUCUUUUCCCUCCUUGCCCCUGCCCAUCUGAUCAGGUACCUAGAUCUGAAACUGUCCUCCAAGAACUCCUGUGUCCCACCACCUGCAACCAGAGGUUGUGGGUUGAGGUUGAUUCUUCAAGGAAAUCAAUUUCAAGGCAAUAUGGUUAAAAACAUUAUCCACAACUGCACAGAGAAGCAGGUCAGUAAAUAUCUGUUGAAAUUCGAAUAUGUGAAUGAAAGGCCUUCUGCAUCCAAGGGACAAUUUCCAGCAUCCUGGGGCCUUUUUUUUUUUCUUUUAAAUGAGGCAGCCAGGGAUAACAACUUCAGCUGCUGUCACAAGACAGGAAGAGAAGGGGUCUCUUCCCCAUGGCUCUGUCCUUGUCCUCGUAACCUGUAUGCACUGCUGAACUUCCUGAAUAACCUUGUCGUGGUGGCAGGAGGAGGGAGCAGGAUGAACUUGAGCCUGGACACCCAGUUAAAGCCUCAUUAUGAUCUUUGCGAAAUGCCAGGGGGACACCUGUGUGGUUGGCGCAGGCUUCCAUGGCACCCAGGGCUGUGUCCACCUUCUGCUCCUGGGUGGACCAAUGUGAGUUCUGUAAUCCACAAGUGACCUGCACCCUCCAAGAGCCACUUCACCCUUGAGAGACUCUGGAGCUGACGGGACAGUGUUGCUUAACCCCAGAUUGAGGUUUACCAGGAAAUGCCCCAGGAGGCGGCCCACGGAGAACAGGCUAUCGCCAGGUUGCAGGGCACCCCUUGCCCUUCCAGCCCUGCAACCUGUUUUCUUCCCAUUAUGCCUGGUGGAGACCUGGCUGUGGGCUUUCAGCCAUCCCCACAUGGUCCUCCUCAAAGGCCGGCCUGGGAGAAAUCCAUGACCUAUGGCACAAGUCUCCGUCAACCCUGCUGAGCACCCUGGAAGUGCGUGAGAUGCUCUGUUCAUGUCGUGAGGAAUUAAAAAGGAAAGGGGGUCAGUCCUUCUGGUCAUAGUUGCAAACACCUGCAAGGCAGCCUAGUGGGGCGGUGACUGCACCUCCUGAGCCAGCACACCUGAGCUUGCGCCCCAACGUACCUUUGCCAAGGUUUCUAUAAAGCCCUUGGUAAAAAUGACUUAAUUUCUCUGAGCCUCAGUUUUCUUGUGAGAUGGAGAUAAUGAAAUCAUGCAGAGAACUGCAGAGUAAGCAGUCAACAGUGUGUUACUAGGCCUGGCACUAAGAUCACCAAUAUGAAGACCCUCAGAUUUCUGAAGAAGGGACUUAGAGGAGAGGCCAGGUCUAGAGGCAAGACAAUGGGUUCAAUGCAAAAUGGAGAUGCUGUGGCACACAGACCAGGCAGCGGAGCCUUGAACAAGUGCAUGGACCUCCAAGGCGUGAUUCCUU
RNAcentral lists this long non-coding RNA (2080 nucleotides) under Marmota monax (woodchuck). The record is from RNAcentral. Lineage: Eukaryota; Metazoa; Chordata; Mammalia; Rodentia; Sciuridae.